Long non-coding RNA from Amblyraja radiata (thorny skate), 354 nucleotides. RefSeq lists it as uncharacterized. The transcript has 2 exons. NCBI's taxonomy places the organism in Eukaryota, Metazoa, Chordata, Chondrichthyes, Rajiformes, Rajidae. The record is from RefSeq and is a predicted model, not a curated record.
UUACAGGAAACGCACCUUAAAGAUCACGCUCAGACCAGGCUGAAGGCUAACUGGAUUGGUCAAAUAUAUCAUUCCUCUUAUCUCUCCAAAUCCAGAGGCACUGCAAUUAUGAUCCGUAAGGGCAUACCAUUUAAACAUAAAAACACCAUAGCAGACAAAGAUGGUAGACUCCACCCAGCAAAACCUAAUAAUUGGGGAAGAUUUCAAUUGUGUUCUGGAUCAAUACUUGGAUAAAUCCUCACAACAAAAGAGAUAUAAUACAAAAUCAAAAUCCAAUGAACUUUUAAAUACGUAUAUAAGAAAUACAAAUAUAACAGACGUAUGGAGGAUUGCAAACCCAUCCGGAAGAGAAUA